GGGGGGGGGGGGGGGGGGGGGGGGGGGGGGGGGGGGGGGGGGGGGGGGGGGGGGGGGGGGGGGGGGGGGGGGGGGGGGGGGGGGGGGCUUCCCCACCUCAGAGUUAAUGACUUCUUGCCUGCCGAUGCCAAGCCUGUUGGAGCCAGCUUGGAGAUCGCAGGGCCUGUGAGCGAUCAGCAUGACGGAAUUUACCUGUGCCAGGCUUGGAAUGGACUUGGGACAAUGAAUGCAUCUGUGACCGUUUCCAUUUUAGACAGACCAGAGGUCACUGAGGGAAAGAAUGCAUCUACAGACAGACCAGGGGUCACUGAGGGAAGGACUGCGACGGAUUUGGUCGGAGUUAUCGGGAUGCUUCCGAUAAUCGUCUUGAUUGUUGCAUUUUUGCUUUGCUGUUGGUGUCGCAAAAGGCGAACCCCAAAGGCAGGUGAAUCCCUGGCUCCUGCUGGCACAAGGUCGUUCCACGACAUCCCUCCGUCAGCGAAUCAGUUUCAGAUGACACGUGUCAGAAGUGGGGAAUUGAUUCAAGAAAAAGUUGAAGAUGUUACAGAGGUUAAUAAAAAGACUCGUACCUACAGAAAGAGACUACAGGCCCUGAAUCUUCGUCAUGGGCCGCUGGGAAAAGCUGAUGACGUAAUGGACAAAGACAAUACCUACAAAACCACUACAGAAGAUGUCUGCGGCCGUCCACACUCCGGACAGAACUCGUACAGGAGAAGCUCACACACCGGAAUGGAUAUCAACAGUCCAUAUGCCCACCACAUGCGAGCAACCUCGUUAGAACUGUUUAAUUUCCUUCACAGGACAACCCCAAUUUAACGUGACAACUGUUACAAUAAUCUCUUAUAUACUAAAGACAACUGGGGAGGGUGAUGAACCCUCGUGCAAACGUUUUUACCAAUCCCAGAUGGUCGCUUUCUGAUGACACACAAACAGAACAUUUUCAAGGACGUGGUAUUUCCUUCGUGGCAAACAACAGAUGUGUUAUCCAGUCAAGACUCAUUGUUUUCAGAAAAUUCCUGUGGUUUGUCCUCGAGCACUUUCGAGCAUGUUACACUUGUAUUGCUUCUCAACCCCACCUCCCCCCC
Molecule: long non-coding RNA, 1085 nt
Filed under: Eptatretus burgeri (inshore hagfish)
Lineage: Eukaryota; Metazoa; Chordata; Myxini; Myxiniformes; Myxinidae
Description: lncRNA (ENSEBUG00000017382.1)
Source: RNAcentral